UGUACUAACGCAGAAAUAUACACACACUCAGAUGCCAACACCCACGGCCCCUCCUCCAUUUCAGAAUCUCCCUCCCUGUCUCCACAUCCAUGAAGGACUCAUCUUGCAUGAAGGUACACCAGGACUCUGCCCGCAGGGACAGAUGGUCACACCCCACCACCAUCCUGCUUCACAAGUCGCAGAGCAGCCAGGCCACACUGAUGCCACAGGAGCACAGGAUGUUCAUGGCGGAAGCCUACAGUGCAGCCACCUGCUUCAAGAUGCUGCAGGACAUGAACAGUGCCGACCCCUUCCACAUGAAGUACAUCAUCAAGAAGAUCAAGAACAUGGCUCAUGGCUCCCCCAGGCUGGUGAUGGAAACCAUCCACGACUACUUCAUAGACAACCCAGAGAUCUCCAGCAGGCACAAGUUCCGGCUGUUCCAGACCCUGGAGAUGGUCAUCGGGGCCAGUGACAUCCUGGAGGAGACCUGGGAGAAAACUUUCA
This 486-nucleotide long non-coding RNA is filed under the name Gorilla gorilla gorilla (western lowland gorilla). RNAcentral's name for it is "lncRNA (ENSGGOG00000044284.1)". Lineage: Eukaryota; Metazoa; Chordata; Mammalia; Primates; Hominidae. The record is from RNAcentral.